GUUGGGCGUGGUAUCUGGUGCAUGUGAUCCCUGCUCCUGGAGAAGCUGAGGCUCGUGGAUCACUUGGUCUCUGGAGUUCUGAGCCGUAUUGGGCUGAGCUAAUUGGGUGCCAAUACUAAGUCUGGCACCAAUGUGAUAAGCUUAGAAAGCAGAGGGCCCACCAGGUUGCUUAAGGAGGAGCAAAGAAGCCCAUGUUGGAAAGAGGUCAAAGCUUCCUUGCUCCUCAGCAAUGGGACUGGGCCUAUGAGUAGUUACUGCACUUUCAGUCUGGGUGAGAUAGGGAGACCUGAUCUCA
RNAcentral lists this non-coding RNA (295 nucleotides) under Phascolarctos cinereus (koala). The record is from RNAcentral. Lineage: Eukaryota; Metazoa; Chordata; Mammalia; Diprotodontia; Phascolarctidae.